This 2828-nucleotide ribosomal RNA is filed under the name Candidatus Iainarchaeum sp. RNAcentral describes it as "23S ribosomal RNA". It matches the Rfam family "Archaeal large subunit ribosomal RNA". Lineage: Archaea; Nanobdellati; Candidatus Iainarchaeota; Candidatus Iainarchaeia; Candidatus Iainarchaeales; Candidatus Iainarchaeaceae. The record is from RNAcentral.
GUUACGCCAACUAGUGGAUGACUAGGCUCAAGCGCUGAAUAAGGACGUGGCAAGCUGCGAUAAGCCUUGGCGAGACGCACGCGGUCUUUGAACCAAGGAUGUCUGAAUAAUUCAGUAAUGAAUGGUAACUCCGCGAACUGAAGCAUCUAAGUAGCGGAAGGAAAAGAAAUCAAUUGAGAUUCCGUGAGUAGGGGCGACCGAAACCGGAUUAGAGCGAACCGAAUCUCUCCCAGUAAUGGGGGUAGAGGUGUGGUGUGAGUAGUAUGCUUUUUGCACGAAGAGAAGUGCCCUGGAAUGGGUUACCGUAGAGAGUGAUAGUCUCGUAUUUGAAGUGCAAGGAGUUGAAUUCACGAGCGAGUACCGUGCAUUUGUAUGUGCGCGGGAAGGUGGGAGGAUUAACUUCCAACUCUAAACACGUCUUGAGACCGAUAGAGAACUAGUACCGCGAGGGAAGGUUGAAAAGCACCCUUAAUAGGGGUUGAAAAGCGCCUGAAACUAGUUGGUUAUGGACGAGGCUCGGCAUGAAAGGAUAGGUUAUUGAUGUUUUGCAUCGUGAGGUGUGAAAAUAAUGUAACUCUCAGUGUCGGGUCGUUCGUCGUGAAGCACGAGCGAGGGAAUUUGUUGUAGUGGCGAGGAUAAGUGUUUUCAAGCACGUAUCCGUAGCGAAAGCGAAUGUCGCGCAGUUUUUACGAGGCGACGAGUUUGAAGCUCUAGUCACUAUAGCCAGACCUGAAACCAAGUGAACUAGUCCUUAGCAGGUUGAAGCUCUCAUCCAAGAGAGUGGAGGACCGCUACUAGUGAUAGUCUAACUUCUUAGGUGACUUUGGACUAGGCGUAAUAAGCGAACCGAACUUGGUGAUAGCAGGCUCCUCCUGAAAAACCUCUGAGGGUUGCCUCGCAGGAGAAGGAACGUGGUGUAGAGAUACUGGUUAAGGGAUGUUGCCUCGAGAGGGGUAGUCUCUUUCCCAAACUCCGAAGCUACGUUCUUCUAGGAUUGCGGGAGUAGGGGCGUAGGCGUAAGGUUUAUGUCCGUAAGGGUAAGAACCCAGCUCUGUGUUAAGGCCCUUAAAUGUUGGUUAAGUGUUAGUAAAGCUAGUCGUUUCCCUAAAACAGUGGGGAGGUAGGCUUAGAAGCAGCCAUCCUUCAAAGAAAGCGUAACAGCUCACCCACCUAGGUAGAUGGCGGCGAAGAUGAUCGGGGCUCAAACCAACUGCCGAUACACAGAAGAUUUUUCAGUUGAAAGAUUCCUUGUAAGGAGGUGCGCGGAUGUCCAAGAAGUAUCUACGUGAGUAGGUAUGGAGAUUUUCGCGAUAUGGAUCCUCGCAUUAGUAGUAACGAUAGAGUAGUGAGAAUCUACUCCGCCGAAAGGACCAGGGUUUCUUAGCGCUAAUCAUUAGCUAAGAGUUAGUCGGUCCUAACUUACUUCAUAACAUGACGGUAAGGAAAGGGAAACACGUUCAUAGUCGUGUACUUUGUGCAUAAGUUCGGUGACGAAAGACAGAUUUUUGACACAUUGGGCUAGUUGGAGUCUCGCCUUCGCGAGAUUUAACGAGAAUAAUUCUAUGGAGAGGCAUAAUGUCGAGAAGUAGAAUAAGCUAGGAUGAGCAGCAAUGUUUCGACAAGGCCUGGUGUCCAUGAAAAAAGAAUUUGUAUUGAUUGUACAAAACCGUACCAAGAACCGAGAAAGGUGCUCCUGGUUGAAAAGACUAAGGCGUAUUGGGGGAAUUGACCUAAGGGAAUUCGGCAUAUUAGCCAUGUAUCUUCGGUAUAAGUGGUGCCUGCAUAGGAAUAUGCAGGUUGCAAUAACUCGAGGAGUCCGACUGUUUAACAAAAACACAGGUCCCUGCUACCCAGCAAUGGUGUGUAUAGGGGCUGACUUCUGCUCACUGCAAGUAGGUUAAAAUCUGUUCCAACGGAUCUAAGCCCUUGUGAAGAGCGGGCCUAACUCUGAGGCUCUCACGGUAGCGUAAUACCUUGCCGUUUUAUUGGCGGCUUGCACCAAGGAAGCAACGAGAUUCCUACUGUCCCUAGGUUGAGCCCAAUGAACAUACUUCGCUGUGUAUAUGCUGCGGAACUCCAAUGGGAUGAGAAGACCCCACGGAGGUUUACUACAGCCUGAUGUUGUGAUGUAGUUUUGUAUGUAUAGAGUAAUUGGGAGUCUUCGAAGCAAUUUCGUCAGGAAUUGUGGAGACAAAAGUGUAACACCAAUCAUAUGAAAAUACAUUGCUUACCUCACAAGGGGACAGCAUUUGGUGGGUAGUUUGGCUGGGGCGGCACGCUCCUGAAAAGAUAUCAGGAGCGCCCAAAGGUCUGCUCAAUCGAGUCGGAAAUUCGAUGUAGAGUGCAAGAGCAAAAGCAGGCUUAACUAUGUUUUUAAUAGCACAAAACGUAGGAAGGAAACUUGGGUCUAGCGAACGCUAGUGCGCCACUUAAUAGGGCCCUAGUCUUACAAUGAACUUAUCCUGGGAGUAAUUGAGUUGUCGCGGGUAAGAGUUCACAUCGACCCCGCGGUUUGCUACCUCGCCGUCGUCUCUUGGCAUCCUGGCUGUGCAUGAGCAGCCAAGGGUGGAGGGGUUUACUCAUUAAAGCCGAACGUUAGUUGGGUUAAGAACGGUGCGAGCCAGUUUGGUUACUAUCUGUUGGAGUUGCUGAUUGAUUGAGGGGUAGAUGUCACGAGUACGAGAGGAACAUGACGUCGUAGCCUCUGGUGUGCCAGUUGUUCGAAAGAGCAUCGCUGGGUAGCUACGCUAUUUUGGAUAAGAGCUGAAUGCAUCUAAGCACGAAGCCAUCCCUGAAAAUAAUCAAUCACUCACGAACAAUCCCCUAAA